AAUUUUGGACAAUGGGGGCAACCCUUAUCAAGCCAUCCCGCGUGUGCGAUGAAGUCCUUCGGGUUGUAAAGCACUUUUGGCAGGGAAGAAAAGGCUCUGGCUAAUACCAGGAGCUGCUGACGAUACCUGCCGACUAAGCACAUGCUAAAUACGGGCCAUCAGCCGCGGUAAUACUUAGGGGGGAAGCGUUAAUCGGAAUUACUGGGCGUAAAGCGUGCGAAGGCGGUUUGGCAAGAAGGAUGUGAAAUCCCAGGGCUUAACCUUGGAACUGCAUUCUUAACUGGCGGGAUAGAGUAUGUCAGAGGGGGGUAGAAUUACGCGUGUAGCAGUGAAAUGCGUAGAGAUGCGGAGGAAUACCGAUGGCGAAGGCAGCCCCCUGGGAUAAUACUGACGCUCAUGCACGAAAGCGUGGGGAGCAAAC
This 421-nucleotide ribosomal RNA is filed under the name uncultured bacterium. Its description in RNAcentral is "partial 16S ribosomal RNA". It matches the Rfam family "Bacterial small subunit ribosomal RNA", at positions 360 to 773 of the family's 1533-position model. The record is from RNAcentral.